Molecule: ribosomal RNA, 465 nt
Filed under: uncultured bacterium
Lineage: Bacteria
Description: bacterial SSU rRNA
Rfam family: Bacterial small subunit ribosomal RNA
Source: RNAcentral
ACUCCUACGGGAGGCAGCAGUGGGGAAUAUUGCACAAUGGGCGCAAGCCUGAUGCAGCCAUGCCGCGUGUGUGAAGAAGGCCUUCGGGUUGUAAAGCACUUUCAGUCGUGAGGAAGGUGGUAGUGUUAAUAGCACUAUCAUUUGACGUUAGCGACAGAAGAAGCACCGGCUAACUCCGUGCCAGCAGCCGCGGUAAUACGGAGGGUGCGAGCGUUAAUCGGAAUUACUGGGGCGUAAAGCGCAUGCAGGUGGUUUGUUAAGUCAGAUGUGAAAGCCCGGGGCUCAACCUCGGAAUAGCAUUUGAAACUGGCAGACUAGAGUACUGUAGAGGGGGUAGAAUUUCAGGUGUAGCGGUGAAAUGCGUAGAGAUCUGAAGGAAUACCGGUGGCGAAGGCGGCCCCCUGGACAGAUACUGACACUCAGAUGCGAAAGCGUGGGGAGCAAACAGGAUUAGAUACCCUGGUA